ACGUUUCUGACAAGAUUCCUCACGACCUGAGACCUGCAUGCUAAAGAACAAGAAGGUUUCUGACAUGAGAAGCCUCACAACCUGCCUCUCCCUCCUGAACUUGUUUUUGGCUCUACCUGCUUGCUGCCUAAGGCUGGCCUCUCUGCUGCUGCUCUCUCCCCUGAGAAGGUGUCUGCUAUCAGAUCCCUCACUACGAAAGGCCCGUGUGCUGAUGGACUCUCCAGGGCCUGCUACCAGAGACCUGCUGCUUCCUCCCGGACUUCUUCCUGGACCUACUCAGUACCUGCACCUUCUUGCUGCCCAAGACCAGCCACACUGCUGCUGCUCUUCCCCUGCACUUUUGCCCCGGACCAUUGGAAUGUCAUGCAACAGGAUUACUGCCGGAUCCUGGCGGAGGUGUGAACCCUACCACAUCAACAGCAUGAAAAGCAAAGUAUGCACUCAAGCUGCUUUCUGAACCCUUCAGUCAGGAUGCAUCUGUCAGAAGAUGAAUUUAUUCACUCAAGUUAAAAAAGAAAGGAAGAAAGCAAGCAAGCAAGAAAGAAAGAACGAAAGAAGAGAAAAAAGAGUUGAAAAUGUACAUUGUAACAUUUCUUAUAAGUUUCUUUCAAAAAAAUUAUGAAGUGUAAAAUAUAAAAAAUAUACAAUUCAGGACAAAAUUGAAUUAAGAUAGAGCUAGAAGAAUUGAAAUUUCAAGCUAAAUAGAUUUUAACAAUGUGUCCAACCUGUUAAGGCUGCUUGCUGCACAGAGUCUAUCUUAUGCAUGGUGAGAGUGGAUUUCUCAUGGCAGUACUAUUGCAGUGUGUACCCAGGAUAUAAAAAUAAAAAUGACUAAUGGUGCAUAGAAGUCAUUGUGAAAUUAGAUCUGUAAUUCUAUAUAAAUGCCUAGUGCCCAAGGUUAACAUUUCCCCAACUAACCUCAGUUCUGCUGCCUUAGAAUAAUCCUUGGCUAUUUAAACAACAGUGCUUGUCAUAAACAACAUAUGGGCUGAAUUCACAAAGAGUGUUUUGAGGAAACUUUCAGAGUCAUCAUUGCUGUCUCUAACCAGACUAGAACAGAAGGUGAUGAACCAAGCAAAAUACUAUUAGCCUUAUACAUUCAACCUAUGCAGUAUUGUUAGAAAAAGCUGAAAAGGUUCAUUAGAAUCUGUUACUGUGUAGCACUGAGGACAUGUGCAGGGAAGACAGAGCAGCAACAUGCUUGAUAAAAAUCAAAACAAAAAAACAAAGAACAAUCAGGUUUUAGCAAUUCUGUUCUAAUUUUUUGCCAACUAUUUUUCGCUUAUUACUUUUUUUGCCAGUCAGAUCAAUAAAAUUGUUUAUCCUCAUUCUCAAAGACUGAAUGGGUGAAGAUCUUAAGCCAGGGUGAAGGAGAAAACAGAAACAUAUAAAAAUGUAAUAACCAUUUAAAACUUAUCUUUUAAUUCAUUAAUAAUGAGUUGAGUGUUUCUAGACAAAAAUGAUAAAUACUUUGUAUGACUAAUAACACCAGUAAAUACAAUAAUAUCUAAAUAUGUCCAUCUUACAGGAUCAUUUAUCCAGCAUAAAUUUUGCACUAAAUUUCUUUUGAUAAUAAGAAAAACAUAAAUGUUCUCCUCUCAAAAUAUUUAACAAAUUUAUAUUUGUUCUUUGCUCAUUUCUAUUUCUUUCUUCAGAGUGCAUGGAUAUUUUGUUUAGACUCAUAGUAUUACUGUGUGGCAGAUCCAGCAUCCUAUUUCCUCCUUUUCUCUUCUGACCUUCAGUCAAGAACAAAAAUGCAAAAAGAAAUGUAUUACUAAGAUUGGAUAUAGGUGGAUUUUGAGUAUUUAAUACUAAGGUUACGAUUUUUAAAAGCCCAAUUAAGCUCUAACCCUAGCCUUCUUUAUUUUCUGACACAUUUUCUGACAACUCCAUAAUCAUGUAUAUAUAUAUAAGAAAACACCUAAACUAAACCUUUCUUAUAUCUAGAAAGCAGGCAGCAUCAGACUGCCUGAAGGCUUAACUUACAAAGCUUAAUCUGCAUAGCAGCAUUAAGUUCAGCAAAAAGUACAAUAUUCAUGACCUCUGUUGUUAAAAAUGACUGUGACAGUGAGUGUAUCAUAGAUUCAUAAUCAGAACAUUUUCCUACUCGAUAAACUUUGAUUCUUGGCUUGCUGCAGCAUGAGAGUACCUGUGUUUCCUACCAUUCAGGAAAAACUUUAAUCAUCAAAUUACAGGCUACAAUUUAUGUCAGGAACAGCCCUUUGCCUAGGCCAAUUAAUCCUGCUUUAAUGAUCAGACUAUCACCUAAGCAACUAGGGGAUAUUUUCCUAAUUUUAGAAAAAGAACACUGAAUUGUCAAGAAAAUAAUGACUAUAAACAGAAAGUCAAAAAGUAGUGGAGAACUGAAGCCAUAAUUCUGGGUGUAUAGUCAUAAGAACUUCACUCAUAUUCAUCUAGAGAGUCCAUGCUGAGACAAUUCUCAAAGUCUGAAACUAACAGUCUACAAUGGAAAACCAGCAAACAAGCAAAGAUUAUCUAUCAACAUGGCUGAUACUAGUAUUAAAUCUAGGAUAAACCUAAAAUUAAAUCACACUUUCAUACAGUUUAAAAGAAGCCCACUGAAUUUUUUUCUAUUCUUUCAUUUCAGCAAGAGCCUGUGAACCAGUCUCAAGGCCAUGUAAAACUAAUUUUAGGAAAAAAAAAUAAAACACUAGGAAAAAAUUCUUCUUGGAAAGAGCAGCAAUGCAUUGGAACAGGCUGUCCAAGGAAAUGGUGGAGUCAGUGUCCCUGUAGGUGUUCAAGAAAUGUGUGGAUGUGUCACUGAGAGACAUGGUUAGUGGACAUGGUGGGGAUACGUCAACCAUUGGACGAGAUGAUAUUAAAUGUGGCCUUUUCCAGCCUCAAAGGUUCUAUGAACGCAUGACUCUAUAUUGUAUCUAAAUAGUCCCUGAAGAUUCAUUUUCAAAUGCUCAUUAAGUAGGACCUGAAUUUUGAAAUACAGAAAAUAUCUCAAAUUAAAAAUAAAAAUAAAAAUCAGCAAGCCUGGAAAAGUCAAUUAAAAAAAAGUACACCAUACAGUAGUUAAAAUUGACUUUAUCUGUGCAAUGCCUGGUUUCAAAAUUAAUUCCUUGUCUAGAAGAUUCUACAAAACCUACAUUCACCUACAAAUUCUACACUCACCUACAACUUCUACACUCCUGUAUUAUGGAGAUCAAAGUAAGCACAGGCAUGAUCUGAUAGAAGAGUCAGAUAGCUUAAUAAACAACAUUUCAACAUAUGCCAACAUUGAAAGCAGAGAGGAUUUCUUGUAUUAUUUUUCUCAGUUACAAAAGGUACAGUUUCCCACAAUAUAGAGACAAUGAUGGCUCUAGUCCCAUCUUACAGUCACUAGAAUAUUGACUCUAGUAUUGACUAAAUAUUGUAGAACAUCCAAUAUUCCCUAAUAAAAGCAUUACAAAAUACCAGAGGCUUAAAUCAUUAUAGCGUACUAGGGACUAAUAUAAAUAUGUAUACAUAUAAUCAGCUUCUUCAGUGUCUAUAGCAGCUUAUGUUUUAGCUUAAUUCUCCUGGUCAAGAUACUCUGCCCUGAAGUUUUGACGAAGUGAUCACUACAUUUGGUCCAAAGUAUCACAUAAUGUUUCUAUGUGGCAUUAAAAUAAAACAUUUCAAAGAUAAAC
Long non-coding RNA from Gallus gallus (chicken), 3638 nucleotides. The record is from Ensembl. NCBI's taxonomy places the organism in Eukaryota, Metazoa, Chordata, Aves, Galliformes, Phasianidae.